Molecule: non-coding RNA, 387 nt
Organism: Pelobates cultripes (western spadefoot toad)
Lineage: Eukaryota; Metazoa; Chordata; Amphibia; Anura; Pelobatidae
Source: the annotation of a GenBank genome assembly
GUUUGUUUUCUACUUUCCUUUUGUUUCAGUCUGGACCUGCAGCAGUGUUUCAAGUCUCUGCCCUUUCUUGCAGGUAAGUGCUAUUGUGGUUUAGUGUGGCUGUUUUUAGCGAACAUUAGGCAGUGUAGGACCUGCCAGAUAUGGGGUACAUUGGCGUUGUUGGCAGGCUUAUGCAAUGUAUGAUCAUAUAAUGUAACUAAAUCCCCAUACUUUUCAUAUAUAGUGCUUAGUUAUGUCUCCUCUUGUUUUACCUUGUAUCUCUUGUCUUGUUUUAUUUAGUCUUGUAAUCCCAGUCCAUGUACAGUCCUGUCCAGUCAUGCCCAUGUUAUGUUCUUGUUUUCCUCAUGUCUUGUGUACAUGUUCUAAGUUAAAGAAAAACAUUAUGAC